This 497-nucleotide ribosomal RNA is filed under the name uncultured bacterium. RNAcentral's name for it is "partial 16S ribosomal RNA". It matches the Rfam family "Bacterial small subunit ribosomal RNA", at positions 28 to 507 of the family's 1533-position model. The record is from RNAcentral.
GAUGAACGCUGGCGGCGUGCCUAAUACAUGCAAGUCGAGCGAACGGACGAGAAGCUUGCUUUUCUGAUGUUAGCGGCGGACGGGUGAGUAACACGUGGAUAACCUACCUAUAAGACUGGGAUAACUUCGGGAAACCGGAGCUAAUACCGGAUAAUAUUUUGAACCGCAUGGUUCAAAAGUGAAAGACGGUCUUGCUGUCACUUAUAGAUGGAUCCGCGCUGCAUUAGCUAGUUGGUAAGGUAACGGCUUACCAAGGCAACGAUGCAUAGCCGACCUGAGAGGGUGAUCGGCCACACUGGAACUGAGACACGGUCCAGACUCCUACGGGGGGCAGCAGUAGGGAAUCUUCCGCAAUGGGCGAAAGCCUGACGGAGCAACGCCGCGUGAGUGAUGAAGGUCUUCGGAUCGUAAAACUCUGUUAUUAGGGAAGAACAUAUGUGUAAGUAACUGUGCACAUCUUGACGGUACCUAAUCAGAAAGCCACGGCUAACUACGUG